RNAcentral lists this ribosomal RNA (58 nucleotides) under Mammaliicoccus fleurettii. RNAcentral's name for it is "Staphylococcus fleurettii partial 23S ribosomal RNA". Lineage: Bacteria; Bacillati; Bacillota; Bacilli; Caryophanales; Staphylococcaceae. The record is from RNAcentral.
AAGCGCAGUAAUGUGUGUAGCUGACGAAUACUAAUCGAUCGAAGACUUAAUCAAAAUU